UACGUAGGGUGCGAGCGUUAAUCGGAAUUACUGGGCGUAAAGCGUGCGCAGGCGGUUCGCUAAGACCGAUGUGAAAUCCCCGGGCUUAACCUGGGAACUGCAUAGGUGACUGGCGGGCUAGAGUAUGGCAGAGGGGGGUAGAAUUCCACGUGUAGCAGUGAAAUGCGUAGAGAUGUGGAGGAAUACCGAUGGCGAAGGCAGCCCCCUGGGCCAAUACUGACGCUCAUGCACGAAAGCGUGGGGAGCAAACAGG
Molecule: ribosomal RNA, 253 nt
Filed under: uncultured bacterium
Lineage: Bacteria
Description: partial 16S ribosomal RNA
Rfam family: Bacterial small subunit ribosomal RNA
Source: RNAcentral